CGCGUAGGCGGCGGACACAGUCAGACGUGAAAUUCCUGGGCUCAACCUGGGGGCUGCGUUUGAUACAUGUCUGCUUGAGUUCGGAAGAGGGUCGUGGAAUUCCCAGUGUAGAGGUGAAAUUCGUAGAUAUUGGGAAGAACACCGGUGGCGAAGGCGGCGACCUGGUCCGAUACUGACGCUGAGGCGCGAAAGCGUGGGGAGCAAACAGGAUUAGAUACCCUGGUAGUCCACGCUGUAAACGAUGUGCGCUGGAUGUUGGGGGGCCUAGCCCUUCAGUGUCGUAGCUAACGCGAUAAGCGCACCGCCUGGGGAGUACGGCCGCAAGGUUGAA
This 331-nucleotide ribosomal RNA is filed under the name uncultured bacterium. RNAcentral describes it as "bacterial SSU rRNA". It matches the Rfam family "Bacterial small subunit ribosomal RNA", at positions 568 to 898 of the family's 1533-position model. The record is from RNAcentral.